UUUGGCAUCAAGAGUUAUCUUAACACCCUCAUGGAUGAAGUCUGCAACUGCUACAAACUCUUUAUCAGUGAAUCCUCGGGUGGUCAUGGCAGGUGACCCAAUUCGAAUGCCUCCCGGAACUAGAGCACUCUUGUCACCAGGUACUGAGUUCUUGUUGAGAGUGAUUGAGGCCAUGUCGAGAAUUUUCUCCACCCGUGCCCCAUCGAUACCCAAUGGCCUUAGGUCUACAAGAACUAGGUGAUUGUCACUUCCCCCGGAAACUAGCUUAUAACCUAACUCGACAAGUCGACUUGCAAGAGCUCUACAAUUGGAAACAACCUUGUUCUGAUAGACCUUAAAUUCUGAGGAUUGUGCAUGCUUCAAGCAGACGGCUAGUCCCCCAAUAGUAUGAUUAUGAGGACCACCCUGUAAUCCUG
RNAcentral lists this unclassified non-coding RNA (416 nucleotides) under Hevea brasiliensis (rubber tree). Lineage: Eukaryota; Viridiplantae; Streptophyta; Magnoliopsida; Malpighiales; Euphorbiaceae. The record is from RNAcentral.